Molecule: microRNA precursor, 86 nt
Filed under: Bombyx mori (domestic silkworm)
Lineage: Eukaryota; Metazoa; Arthropoda; Insecta; Lepidoptera; Bombycidae
Description: mir-2807 microRNA precursor family
Rfam family: mir-2807 microRNA precursor family
Source: Rfam by way of RNAcentral
UUAACUCGAAUUUGUAUGGAGUUUUGGAACGUUUGCCUACGUUUGCUGCCAGUGCUGUUGUUCCAACUGCAUAAAAAUUUUAAUUA